RNAcentral lists this ribosomal RNA (253 nucleotides) under uncultured bacterium. RNAcentral's name for it is "partial 16S ribosomal RNA". It matches the Rfam family "Bacterial small subunit ribosomal RNA", at positions 524 to 776 of the family's 1533-position model. The record is from RNAcentral.
UACGAAGGGGGCUAGCGUUGCUCGGAAUCGCUGGGCGUAAAGCGCACGUAGGCGGCUUGUUAAGUCAGGGGUGAAAUCCUGGAGCUCAACUCCAGAACUGCCUUUGAUACUGGCGAGCUUGAGUUCGGGAGAGGUGAGUGGAACUGCGAGUGUAGAGGUGAAAUUCGUAGAUAUUCGCAAGAACACCAGUGGCGAAGGCGGCUCACUGGCCCGGUACUGACGCUGAGGUGCGAAAGCGUGGGGAGCAAACAGG